This 508-nucleotide ribosomal RNA is filed under the name uncultured bacterium. RNAcentral's name for it is "partial 16S ribosomal RNA". It matches the Rfam family "Bacterial small subunit ribosomal RNA", at positions 30 to 523 of the family's 1533-position model. The record is from RNAcentral.
AUUGAACGCUGGCGGCAGGCCUAACACAUGCAAGUCGAGCGGCAGCGGGAAAGUAGCUUGCUACUUUUGCCGGCGAGCGGCGGACGGGUGAGUAAUGCCUGGGGAUCUGCCCAAUCGAGGGGGAUAACUACUGGAAACGGUAGCUAAUACCGCAUACGCCCUACGGGGGAAAGCAGGGGACCUUCGGGCCUUGCGCGAUUGGAUGAACCCAGGUGGGAUUAGCUAGUUGGUGAGGUAAUGGCUCACCAAGGCGACGAUCCCUAGCUGGUCUGAGAGGAUGAACAGCCACACUGGAACUGAGACACGGUCCAGACUCCUAUGGGAGGCAGCAGUGGGGAGUAUUGCACAAUGGGGGAAACCCUGAUGCAGCCAUGCCGCGUGUGUGAAGAAGGCCUUCGGGUUGUAAAGCACUUUCAGCGAGGAGGAAAGGUUGGUAGCUAAUAACUGCCAGCUGUGACGUUACUCGCAGAAGAAGCACCGGCUAACUCCGUGCCAGCAGCCGCCGUAA